GGACUUGCUUCUGCAGUGCAUAUACUAAGAGAUGGGAUGAUCAGAGAUUAGCAUGGGCCCUGUACAAGGAAGACAUACACACUUGUAAAGAUUUCAGCAUUAAG
Small nuclear RNA from Cricetulus griseus (Chinese hamster), 104 nucleotides. The record is from Ensembl. Lineage: Eukaryota; Metazoa; Chordata; Mammalia; Rodentia; Cricetidae.